AUUGAACGCUGGCGGCAUGCCUUACACAUGCAAGUCGAACGGCAGCACGGGAGCAAUCCUGGUGGCGAGUGGCGAACGGGUGAGUAAUAUAUCGGAACGUGCCCAGUCGUGGGGGAUAACGCAGCGAAAGCUGUGCUAAUACCGCAUACGAUCUAUGGAUGAAAGCGGGGGACUCGCAAGGGCCUCGCGCGAUUGGAGCGGCUGAUAUCAGAUUAGGUAGUCGGUGGGGUAAAGGCCUACCAAGCCUGCGAUCUGUAGCUGGUCUGAGAGGACGACCGGCCACACUGGAACUGAGACACGGUCCAGACUCCUACGGGAGGCAGCAGUGGGGAAUUUUGGACAAUGGGCGCAAGCCUGAUCCAGCAAUGCCGCGUGCAGGAUGAAGGCCUUCGGGUUGUAAACUGCUUUUGUACGGAACGUAAAGGCUCUGGUGAAUACCUGGAGUUGAUGACGGUACCGUAAGAAUAAGCACCGGCUAACUACGUGCCAGCCGCCGCCGUAA
Molecule: ribosomal RNA, 502 nt
Filed under: uncultured bacterium
Lineage: Bacteria
Description: partial 16S ribosomal RNA
Rfam family: Bacterial small subunit ribosomal RNA
Source: RNAcentral